Long non-coding RNA from Camelus dromedarius (Arabian camel), 1947 nucleotides. RefSeq lists it as uncharacterized. The record is from RefSeq and is a predicted model, not a curated record. NCBI's taxonomy places the organism in Eukaryota, Metazoa, Chordata, Mammalia, Artiodactyla, Camelidae. The transcript has 2 exons.
GGGCGCCUGAUGGAGGCCUCGAGGCGCCAAGGGAGGAGCUACGCCUGGUGGCACUCCCUGCGGCCGCCGGAGCGCUGCAAGCUCGGCGGGGGCGGGGAGGGAAGCCGGCCGCAAGGAGGGGUGAGCCGCGAGGUCGCAGGAACCACCUAAUAAAAUAUUACAAGGGAGACCAGAGGAAGAAGGAAAAGGCAUUGGCUGUAAGUCUGGCUUUUGUCAUUGGCACCCAAGAAGUCUCGGGAGCCUGGAGAUGGGCAGAAUUGGUGGUAGAGAAGCAGCAGUGAUUCGUGGAUGCUCUCCUGAGCCCAGAGCUGGUGUGACCGUGACCCUGAGCCCACCAUGCUCUUCGAUGAGUCAGUACCUUUGCUCUGGCCAUUCUUCCUGCCUGCAGUGCUCUUUCCACUCUUCCUUACCAGGUUGUCUGCCAUUCCUCAUUAGCAGUUAGCUUUAGAGACAUUAUUUCUUUAGCUUAUUUUGUGUCAAAUACAGAGAUUUGUAAUUUUAUAGAUACAGGAGCUAAACCAAGCUUUGUAGACUAAUUUUCUCUUUCUAAGCUAGUGGGUUCUACACUGACUUUCUUCCAACAUUCUUCUGUGAGCAGCAAUGCGGUAUGCCAACCCAAUGUAUCUAAUCUUUCAGAUUUAGCUAAUACUUAAAUUGUGUAAUGUGAACAAAAAUACUGCAAUGUGAAUAAAAAUACUGCAACCAUAUCAGUAAACAAAGAAUGCUGAAACCAAGUCAUCAGGGGCUGCCGCCACCCCCCCAGCGAGGACAGGCCUGCAGCCAGCCUCUGCAGCCACUCACAAGAAAGGACAGGAUACUGGCCCUAGAUAGCCAGGUGCUUGUCAAAGGAAUGAAUUCAAUGAGCCCAAAUGUUUGCUUCCUCCCAUACAUAGAAAAGCACUAAAUUCUUUAACUUGAGAUGCCUGGUUUUCUUUAGAUAACAAGUAAUCUUUUAUUGUUCCAACUACCUGGUCUUUGUUGUAAAGCUCCUAUAUAUCCUAGCUCCUCCCCUACCUCUUUGGAGCAGUGCCUCAGAGCGAUCUGAGAGGCUGUCAUCCCGGCUCGAGUCCUCCCACCAAAUAAAACAUAACUCUUAAGUUUUAGGCUGCGCAUUUAUUUCAGUCGACAGUAACUACCAUUGAAGCUAAUAACGCUUAGUCUUCAUUUUGUUUGCAGACCACAAAGAACUCCACUGGUACUCUAAAAAUUAAAUAUAUAUAUAAAAUUAGAUUUCUAUCAUAAUUUUUACUAGUACUGUUUUUUAAAUGCUCUUUCAUUAUACCUAUCUCCCUGAACAUAACGCUGAAUACUCUUCUAGGCUUUGUUUCCUUGUAUUAUUUUGAAUCAACAUACACCUAAGAAAUAUUUAUUAGAUAACCUGUGACAUUGUACUAAGUACAGUCUUUAAAGGAAACUGUCUCCCAAAUAGUGGCUGUAGAGUUGGGUUUUAAUCAUUCUGAGACAGGAAGGGGGCAGGACACAGCCAUUCAAGGAAUAACACAGCAAGUAACACCAGAGUGGCGAAUGAUUCAACCCCCUGUAGGCCUUGAGGCUCAAGAUGGUGGGAGAUUUGACUUCUUGUAGACCUUGAGCUUCAUUAUACACCCAUUUUAAUAUAUUAACAUGGUGAAUAACGUGCCCACAGGCGCCAUGGCAGUCCCAAGGCUAGCCACAAAAGGUCAAAGACAGGGAAAUGGCCAACUUCCUGGGAAUCCCAGCCCCUUACCCAGGCUGGUUAGACUGGUCCUCCCACUUAUUAGCAUAUGAAGCCACUGAGCCCAUAAAAACUGGCAACAUGGCGCCUAUGGCCGCCCCCUCUGAGACGGCCCGCUCUCUGUCUAUGGAUUGUGUACCUACUUUUACUCUAAUCUGAGCACCCAACCCCCAUACCUCGUGGCCUUUCUCUUGCCUUUUGAUGUAUCUCUAAAUAAAUCUACGUUUACUCAA